This 251-nucleotide long non-coding RNA is filed under the name Homo sapiens (human). Its description in RNAcentral is "HSALNT0299306". Lineage: Eukaryota; Metazoa; Chordata; Mammalia; Primates; Hominidae. The record is from RNAcentral.
CGAGAUCUUCACGGGAAGAAGAAGGAGGAGCUGCGGAAACAGCUGGAUGACCUGAAGGUGGAGCUGUCCCAGCUGCGCGUCGCCAAAGUGACAGGCGGUGCGGCCUCCAAGCUCUCUAAGAGUUAUUAACCAGACUCAGAAAGAAAACCUCAGGAAAUUCUACAAGGGCAAGAAGUACAAGCCCCUGGACCUGCGGCCUAAGAAGACACGCGCCACGCGCCACCGGCUCAACAAGCGCGAGGAGCACCUGA